AUACGUAGGGAGCUAGCGUUAUCCGGAAUUACUGGGCGUAAAGGGUGCGUAGGUGGUUUCUUAAGUCAGAAGUGAAAGGCUACGGCUCAACCGUAGUAAGCUUUUGAAACUAAGAGACUUGAGUGCAGGAGAGGAGAGUAGAAUUCCUAGUGUAGCGGUGAAAUGCGUAGAUAUUAGGAGGAAUACCAGUUGCGAAGGCGGCUCUCUGGACUGUAACUGACACUGAGGCACGAAAGCGUGGGGAGCAAACAGGAUUAGAUACCCUGGUAGUCCACGCCGUAAACGAUGAGUACUAGCUGUCGGGGGUUACCCCCCUCGGUGGCGCAGCUAACGCAUUAAGUACUCCGCCUGGGAAGUACGCUCGCAAGAGUGAAACUCAAAUGAAUUGGCGGGG
This 394-nucleotide ribosomal RNA is filed under the name uncultured bacterium. RNAcentral's name for it is "partial 16S ribosomal RNA". It matches the Rfam family "Bacterial small subunit ribosomal RNA", at positions 523 to 918 of the family's 1533-position model. The record is from RNAcentral.